RNAcentral lists this ribosomal RNA (230 nucleotides) under uncultured bacterium. RNAcentral describes it as "partial 16S ribosomal RNA". It matches the Rfam family "Bacterial small subunit ribosomal RNA", at positions 562 to 791 of the family's 1533-position model. The record is from RNAcentral.
AAAGGGCGCGUAGGCGGAAUGCUUUGUCGGGCGUGAAAUUCCAGGGCUUAACCUUGGGACUGCGUUCGAGACGGGUAUUCUAGAGUGGAGAAGAGGGUCGUGGAAUUCCCAGUGUAGAGGUGAAAUUCGUAGAUAUUGGGAAGAACACCGGUGGCGAAGGCGGCGACCUGGUCUUUUACUGACGCUGAGGCGCGAAAGCGUGGGGAGCAAACAGGAUUAGAUACCCCAGU